Molecule: ribosomal RNA, 450 nt
Filed under: uncultured bacterium
Lineage: Bacteria
Description: partial 16S ribosomal RNA
Rfam family: Bacterial small subunit ribosomal RNA
Source: RNAcentral
GUGGGGAAUCUUCCGCAAUGGACGAAAGUCUGACGGAGCGACGCCGCGUGAGUGAAGAAGGCCUUCGGGUCGUAAAGCUCUGUCAUCAGGGACGAACGGCCGGUGGAGUGGAAAGCCACCGGAUUGACGGUACCUGAGAAGGAAGCCACGGCUAACUACGUGCCAGCAGCCGCGGUAAUACGUAGGUGGCAAGCGUUGUCCGGAAUUAUUGGGCGUAAAGCGCGCGCAGGUGGGAUCUUAAGUCCAUUUUUAAAGUUAGGAGCUCAACUCCGAGAGUGGAUGGAAGCUGGGAUUCUUGAGUACCGGAGAGGAAAGCGGAAUUCCCCGUGUAGCGGUGAAAUGCGUAGAUAUGGGGAGGAACACCAGUGGCGAAGGCGGCUUUCUGGACGGUGUCUGACACUGAGGCGCGAAAGCCAGGGGAGCGAACGGGAUUAGAAACCCCGGUAGUCC